Rhipicephalus microplus (southern cattle tick) is the source of this 1054-nucleotide long non-coding RNA. Lineage: Eukaryota; Metazoa; Arthropoda; Arachnida; Ixodida; Ixodidae. The record is from RefSeq and is a predicted model, not a curated record.
UACGUUCCUCGGUGACCUGCCUUCGAGGGUUCUCGAACAUUGGCCGCGCUGCCUUGAUCAGGCAGUUUCGUUUCCGAAAGUGCAAAGUUGGCCACGUUUGGUUCCCUCGGUUACUGGCAGCUGGCAACAUGGUUCAUUCCCAGAUGCCCUCGCAAGCCAUGACGUAGGAUAUAUAAGCCAGCCAUGCUCCAGUUCGGUUGGGCACGACACCGUUGAAGGGAUGGGACGCUUACCGCUGCUGUAUUUUCAGGUUGGUUACUUCAAAGAUACUUCCUGUUUAAAAAGUAGCAAUUACUGCCUUGUUGCGGUGUCGUGCCCUCCUGACUUGCGUGAUAAGAUGUUCCGUACAUUGCUGUUUCUUUCAUGUCUGCGCCGGAAGUUUGCAUCGUUGUUGUUGUUGCUUUCAGGUGACAUUGAAUCUAAUCCCGGCCCUGGCGUCGAGGAAACACUCGCAAUUGUUCUUGAUACAGUGCGUAGGCUGGAAGCGGGUCAGAAUACAAUAAUUGGUGAAAUUAAGGGGCUAAAAGAAAAACAGGAUGCUACUGAUAAAGAAAUCAAAAGCUUGACCAUGAGAGUGGUCACUCUGGAAGCAAAGCUGGUUUCUAAUGCCCCUCCGUCAUCCAACUUUGCUGAUGGUGCUAUUGGUUCUAUUUCUGAUCAGCUUCAAGCAGUAGUAUCAAGGUGUGAGGAAGCAGAAAAUAGAAUGCGACGGUGCAACUUGUUGUUUUUUGGAAUUCCCGAUGAGCACAAAGAGAGCUGGGAAACUUCUGAAAAGAAAAUUAUCGCCGUAUGCUCAGAUAAGUUAGCGAUCACCACUACCAGUUCUCAAUAUGAACGUGUGCACCGGCUGGGUAAAUUUGCUUCAAACAAAUGUAGGCCGAUAAUUGCUAAGCUUACGUUUUUUAAGGACAAACAAGCAAUCCUCGCCGGUGCACAUCGGCUGAAAAAUACUGGCUUCUCUAUUAGAGAAGAUUUUUCGCAAGCAACACGGCAAGCGCGCAGGAAACUGCUUCAGUUUGCUAGGGAACGGAAUUGUCCUUUCAAACUAAAUGUC